RNAcentral lists this ribosomal RNA (563 nucleotides) under uncultured soil bacterium. RNAcentral describes it as "bacterial SSU rRNA". It matches the Rfam family "Bacterial small subunit ribosomal RNA", at positions 15 to 573 of the family's 1533-position model. The record is from RNAcentral.
GAUCAUGGCUCAGGACGAACGCUGGCGGCAUGCCUAAUACAUGCAAGUCGAGCGGAGCACUUCGGUGCUUAGCGGCGGACGGGUGAGUAACACGUAGGUAACCUGCCUAUUAGACUGGGAUAACUAUCGGAAACGAUAGCUAAGACCGGAUAACUGGUUUUCUCGCAUGAGAGAAUCAUGAAACACGGAGCAAUCUGUGGCUGAUAGAUGGGCCUGCGGCGCAUUAGCUAGUUGGUAGGGUAACGGCCUACCAAGGCGACGAUGCGUAGCCGACCUGAGAGGGUGAACGGCCACACUGGAACUGAGACACGGUCCAGACUCCUACGGGAGGCAGCAGUGGGGAAUAUUGGACAAUGGGCGAAAGCCUGAUCCAGCCAUGCCGCGUGUGUGAAGAAGGUCUUCGGAUUGUAAAGCACUUUAAGUUGGGAGGAAGGGUUGUAGAUUAAUACUCUGCAAUUUUGACGUUACCGACAGAAUAAGCACCGGCUAACUCUGUGCCAGCAGCCGCGGUAAUACAGAGGGUGCAAGCGUUAAUCGGAAUUACUGGGCGUAAAGCGCGCGUA